This 1242-nucleotide ribosomal RNA is filed under the name metagenome. RNAcentral describes it as "bacterial LSU rRNA". It matches the Rfam family "Bacterial large subunit ribosomal RNA", at positions 1564 to 2815 of the family's 2925-position model. The record is from RNAcentral.
CCUGAUGCCGGCGCUUAGGCGCAGAAGUCACUGAGUUCCGUUUCCAAGAAAAACUGAGCUGCGAUGAAGCGUGCCGUCCGUACCGUAAACCGACACCGGUAGAUGGGUAGAGAAUACCAAGGUGAACGGGAGAACCUUCGUUAAGGAACUAGGCAAAAUAACUCCGUAACUUCGGGAGAAGGAGUGCUGGCGCAAGCCAGCCGCAGUGAAAUGGCUCUGGCGACUGUUUAACAAAAACACAGGUCUCUGCUAACCCGCUAGGGGAAGUAUAGGGGCUGACGCCUGCCCAGUGUCGGAAGGUUAAAGAGAGAGGUCAACCGCAAGGUGAAGCUUUGAACUGAAGCCCCGAUGAACGGCGGCGGUAACUAUAACCGUCCUAAGGUAGCGAAAUUCCUUGUCGGGUAAGUUCCGACCCGCACGAAUGGCGUAACGAUCAGAGCACUGUCUCAACGAGGGACCCGGUGAAAUUGAAGUACGUGUGAAGAUGCGCGUUACCCGCAGCUGGACAAAAAGACCCCGUGGAGCUUUACUGUAGUUUGCCAUUGCGUUAGGGCAUGGUCUGUGUAGGAUAGCUGGGAGGCGGAGAACCUGGUGCGCUAGCAUCGGGGGAGCCAACGGUGAAAUACCAGCCUGACGAUGCUUUGGCCCUAACCUGUGACCGUGAAACCGGCAUGGGGACCGUGGCAGAUGGGCAGUUUGACUGGGGCGGUCGCCUCCGAAAGAGUAACGGAGGCGCUCAAAGGUUGGCUUAGGUGGAAUGGCAACCCACCGGGACGUGUAAUGGCACAAGCCAGCUUGACUGCGAGGCAGACACGCCGAGCAGAGACGAAAGUCGGACAUAGUGAUCCUACAGCGCUAAGUGGAAAGGCUGUAGCUUAACGGAUAAAAGCUACCCCGGGGAUAACAGGCUAGUCUUGCCCAAGAGUUCACAUCGACGGCAAGGCUCGGCACCUCGAUGUCGGCUCAUCGCAUCCUGGGGCUGGAUAAGGUCCCAAGGGUUGGGCUGUUCGCCCAUUAAAGCGGUACGUGAGCUGGGUUCAGACCGUCGUGAGACAGGUCGGUCUCUAUCCGCUGUGGGCGUGAGAAGGUUGAGGGGAGCUGGCUCUAGUACGAGAGGACCGAGCUGGACGAAGCGCUGGUGUGUCGAUUGUCGUGCCAACGGCAGUGUCGAGUAGCCACCUUCGGGACGGAGAACCGCUGAAAGCAUCUAAGCGGGAAACCGACCUCAAGAUGAGCCUUCUG